Cygnus olor (mute swan) is the source of this 3443-nucleotide RNA transcript. It is a transcript of the gene named DNL-type zinc finger, with no coding region annotated. NCBI's taxonomy places the organism in Eukaryota, Metazoa, Chordata, Aves, Anseriformes, Anatidae. The record is from RefSeq and is a predicted model, not a curated record. The transcript has 5 exons.
UCCAAGCUGAAUGAACCCAGUUCUUUCAGCCAGACUCAUCCAGGUGUCCAUGGCCUUUAAUCAUUCAAGUAUUCAGUGAGGGCAUUGCAUGUAUUAAUGAGUGUUAAUGAGUUUUCUUUGUUCAUCUGAAGGGUUCAUAGUAACUUUAUACACGUUGUAUUGUGAGCAUGGUUCAGAGCAACAGGAAAAUUAUCAUGUUUUCCUGUAGGUACGUAAGCUCAGAGUGGUGAAACAGCUUUGAAGGGCAGGAGCUCCGUCCCUCAGCUAGGUUUGCGUGUGUUCCUAUCCUAAAGAAACACAGCUCUCUGAUACAAUUAGAUGCUGGAGCGAUCCACGUGUUAAUUAAGAAACAGGAGUCCUGGAUCACUGCUGCGUGCUCGCCCUGGUGCGAGCUGCUGGCACUGCUGGAAGGGGGGGGGGGGGGUUAUUGUGUUACCUCUACGUGACACACAGCGCUCUGCCUCCGUGGCUCUGGUGCCUUUGGUGGGGUGGAACCGAGCUGCUGGGAAGGAUCUGCGUUGUCUUGGAAACAGUUAGUACUAAAAAAGCCAGGUUAUAGCCAUUUUCCUCACCUUUCUUACCAGUUACUGUGCCCCUAGCUACAGUUAUACAGAAAGGUUACGCUAGUUUUCGCUCCGUUACAGUGAAAAACUGUAGCAAAGUCUGUCCCUGGCUGUCAGACGGGUCAGUGUUUCCCUGGCACGGGUGCUGAGGCAGGGCAGCACGCCGGUCCUGGUGCUGCCGGGCGGGCAGCCGGGUGCUUGUGGAGCAGGCGGGCCUGCUGGCGCCUGACGCCACGGUCUGAGGAUGGAGCAGGGCCUGGUUUUGCUGCUGCUGCUGCGGGCCAGGACGAGGACAGAGCAGGCAGCAGCAGAUCGCACGGAGUGGGCAGAUCUUCAGGGUGUGGGUGCAGGGAGCGCGCUGCCCACGGCUGCUGGGAGGCAGCUGCAGAGGCAGGGUGGGUCCGGAGGGCAGCCCCCAGGGGCUCCUUGGAGCCAGGCAGAGGCUGCGCCGUGCCACAGCGCAGGAAAUGGGAAACCUGUCUGUCUGUUAAAGAGGACCCCAGUGAGCAGGCUUUGUCAGGCUUUGUCUAGGAAGAGCCCAGCAGACCUUCCUUCAGCCAAAGGAGUGGGAGAGAGAAGAAGAGAAAAAAGGCUUCCUCCUGAGCUGGAGGUGUGGCAAGAUGGGGGAAAAGUGCCGUGAAGGCCUGGUGCAGCAGGGCACGGUGAGUGACGGUGCUGUGACAGGGGUGUUGGAUGCACAGAGGAGGGCCGGUGAGCCGAGGUGGGGCAAAGCAGCACUCCCAGGCUGCGCUGCAAACCUUUGGCACAGGCCUCAAAGCAUUUCACUGGGGCUGCUAAGGGAUGGAUUCUGUUCCCGAACCCUAGCCCGUGAGGGCUUUUCUGCAAAAUGGGAAAUUUUGUGCCUCUUGCUUUCUGCCUCUUUGCACACCCCCUUUCCCUCCCCACCUUUUUUAUUGCACUCAAAUUCCCGAGUUCCUCCAGCUGCUGCGGGAUUCUGCUGUGCUGCGCCUGCUGGCUGCAGCUGGGGCCCUGCAGGGCUAGGACAUGAGCGUGUGCGUGCGGGGCUGCGCCUCCUGCUGCGCGUGCAGCGAUGGCAUUACAGACCCUGCCACGCGUGGGUGUGCUGUGCGGGGCUCAGCGGCACCGCGCCGCCAUCCUGACGGGCUCGGGCAGGUAAAUUUCUCCUGUAAGCAGCAGCGCAGGCGGCGAGGAGGGGAGCGGGGGGCUGUGAAGUGACUCACCCUUGUGCUGCUUGCCCAGGGCCUGAUGCGGCGCGGUUCUGGGCCUCCAGGGCCUGCUGCAGUGCGGGCAGAGGCACAGCGGGGUGCGAGCCCUCUGCUCCGACCCUACGGGCACGUGGCUGUGACCUAGGCCCACGUCCCUGGUGUGGGAUGCUCAGCGCUACUGACCGCUGAGCUCCUUACUGCGAGGCCACGCAGGAGUUAACAGCCCACGACUGCGUCCUGGCCUGGCAGGGUCCUGGGAGAUGGCUGUGGAGAGCCUCGGGCCGCUGUCCAGCUCCAGACUGAAAUUUACAGCGCCUGGGUGCUCCAGGCCAGCAGAGCCCUUCCUGCAGGCUGCGCGCCUUCCCAGCCGGAUGCAGAUGGAUGGCCGGACCCGCACCAGCACGAGGCUCUGGGGAGGGCUGAGGUGCUCUGCGAGAGGCAUUUACUGGAGAACAUACAUGCCCUUCCCCAGCUGCUAAGGACAGAGAGACAGCAGGGCUCAGGAUCCAAAAAUCUGCUGCUCCCAGGCCCCCUUUCUAGCGAAGUCUAAUGGCCUGCACCUGCCUGCUGCGUGGGAAUGAGCUUGUGCUGCUGCCCGCUGCUGUGAACAUACCUGCUUUGGCAGACCCCAUUACUGGAGGUGCUCAAGUCCAAGAUAGCCUCUCAGGUCAAGCAAAGAAAAAACCAUUCCACCUCCUCAAAUGAGAAGUCUGCUGGCCUCCCCUCCGGGCUUCCUUUUCCAACAUUACCAGAAGGAAAUGUAAGUAAAUGUAGGUCCUCGCACUCGCGUGCGGUGCGGGGCUGCUGGCCCAGCAACCAGCCCCGGCUGGAGCGGGCGCAAGGCUCCGUUUCCUGCGGGGACGGCGCCAGGCAGCUGGGCAGAGCAGGACGGCCGCGCUGAGAGCAGCUCUGCGGGGCGGGCAGCAGCGCAGCCCUGCUUUCAGGAGGAACAAGGCGGAGGGAAGGGCCGUUGUUCCCCACUGCUGCUGGGCACAAGGGAGCAGGGCAUAGUUCUGCUCACUCUCAUCGCAAGCGGUGACCAGAAGGCUUUGUAGCUCUCGAAGCAGGUCAGUGCCAAAUGCAGGUUUCUGCCUCGGGCACACGAUUCAAUCCUGUACGAGGCUUCUGGCCCAGCUGCAGCAGAAGCAAUGCGUUGCCUAAGUUUGUGUUCUGUGCUGAGCAGAUGGGCAGAGACCGUCUUCCUCCCUUCCCGGGCACAGAUUCCUGUCUCGGGGCUGCAGUUGGCGCUGCCCAGCUGGCAGUUACCUUUCAGGCUUUGUCCCAGGCUGGGGUUUUGCUGGGGGUCUCCAAAUUCCACUGAAGCUACGGGUGGGAGAGCCUUGGAUCCUGCGCAGGAGGUUCCAGUACAGCUCUGCACACGAGUGGCUGGGGAAGCGGAGGGGAGGAACAGCACAGGGUGCUCACAGCAACCCCAGAACAAACUAAAGUGGGGGGACCAUGGCUGCAGCCAGGGCGGGGGUCAGGUUUAAAAGGACCUGUGUUGCCGCUGACUUGAGCUCAUUUCCUCCUUUAGCAAGAACAAAGUUGAGCAAGAUAUUCCAGGAAAGGAUCCAGAGCAAUCUGUCACCUCGUGAUGCAAAUAAGACAGGAGGACUUGAAAAUGAAAAAGGUGCUCUUCCCUUCCCCCAUUAAAUUAAAAGUGUUUUGGAAAUAAAGGACAUCAAGGCUGGAU